Molecule: ribosomal RNA, 497 nt
Filed under: uncultured bacterium
Lineage: Bacteria
Description: partial 16S ribosomal RNA
Rfam family: Bacterial small subunit ribosomal RNA
Source: RNAcentral
GAUGAACGCUGGCGGCGUGCCUAAUACAUGCAAGUCGAGCGAACGGACGAGAAGCUUGCUUUUCUGAUGUUAGCGGCGGACGGGUGAGUAACACGUGGAUAACCUACCUAUAAGACUGGGAUAACUUCGGGAAACCGGAGCUAAUACCGGAUAAUAUUUUGAACCGCAUGGUUCAAAAGUGAAAGACGGUCUCGCUGUCACUUAUAGAUGGAUCCGCGCUGCAUUAGCUAGUUGGUAAGGUAACGGCUUACCAAGGCAACGAUGCAUAGCCGACCUGAGAGGGUGAUCGGCCAAACUGGAACUGAGACACGGUCCAGACUCCUACGGGAGGCAGCAGUAGGGAAUCUUCCGCAAUGGGCGAAAGCCUGACGGAGCAACGCCGCGUGAGUGAUGAAGGUCUUCGGAUCGUAAAACUCUGUUAUUAGGGAAGAACAUAUGUGUAAGUAACUGUGCACAUCUUGACGGUACCUAAUCAGAAAGCCACGGCUAACUACGUG